This is a non-coding RNA of Sceloporus undulatus (fence lizard), 474 nucleotides long. The record is from the annotation of a RefSeq genome assembly. NCBI's taxonomy places the organism in Eukaryota, Metazoa, Chordata, Lepidosauria, Squamata, Phrynosomatidae.
AAAGCAAGGAUUAACUCAGUAGCCAAAAACUUCUUUUCUUUCUUCCUACUUCCAAAAAGAAAGAUGCAGUCUUUGUUCUUUUCCAUGGUCCUGUUGGGCAUCACACCUUGCAUCUAUUGUCAAGUGAUGCUGGGACAGGUCAGUUCCGUGGCAUUGAGGCCUUCAGAGACCCUCAGGCUCACCUGCAAAAUUUCUGGGUUCACUCUCACUACAACUGGGUAUGCUGUGAGCUGGAUUCGUCAGCCUCCAGGGAAAGGAUUGGAAUGGCUGACCCUUGUCUACUGGGAUGAUGAUAAGCUCUACUCAGAAUCCCUGAAAACCCGUCUCACCAUUUCCAGAGAUGUUUCCAAGAGUGAAGUUUAUUUAGAGAUGAGAGGCAUGGAGACCAAGGACAGUGGCAUGUAUUACUGUGCCAGAAGAGACACAGCAUGCAAAAGCAAUGGAGAACCUAGACAAAUACCAGCUUCACAGUGA